RNAcentral lists this ribosomal RNA (473 nucleotides) under uncultured bacterium. Its description in RNAcentral is "bacterial SSU rRNA". It matches the Rfam family "Bacterial small subunit ribosomal RNA", at positions 37 to 507 of the family's 1533-position model. The record is from RNAcentral.
UGGCGGCAGGCUUAACACAUGCAAGUCGAGCGGUAGCAGAUCUAGCUUGCUAGAUGCUGACGAGCGGCGGACGGGUGAGUAACGCGUAGGAACCUGCCCAGUAGUGGGGGAUAGCCCGGGGAAACUCGGAUUAAUACCGCAUACGCUCUACGGAGGAAGAGGGGGCUUCGGCUCUCGCUAUUGGAUGGGCCUGCGUGAGAUUAGCUAGUUGGUGAGGUAAUGGCUCACCAAGGCGACGAUCUCUAGCUGGUCUGAGAGGAUGAUCAGCCACACUGGGACUGAGACACGGCCCAGACUCCUACGGGAGGCAGCAGUGGGGAAUAUUGCACAAUGGGCGCAAGCCUGAUGCAGCCAUGCCGCGUGUGUGAAGAAGGCUUUCGGGUUGUAAAGCACUUUCAGUGGGAGGAAGGCCUCGUAGUUAAUAGCUGCGAGGAUUGACGUUACCCACAGAAGAAGCACCGGCUAACUCCGUG